AUGUGUAUGGAAAAUGCUUUUCGUUGGGACACCAACUCACGGCAGGAAAAGAUCAUCACUCAUCAAAAUGGCAGUAGAUAAUAGAAUCUACCAUUACCAGUCAAUACAAUAUAAAUUUAAUCAUAACUUAGAUUCAAACAUCAGCAGAUGAUAUAAGGGGACUGUUAAGACUGUUGGAGUUCACAGAGUACCGAAUUGGCAAUAGAGCCGGGUCUUGAUAGGCAGUAACCAAUUUAUCAAAAAAUUCAGCCAUUGCAGGGUCGUUUGCCUCUUCCUUGUCCUUUUUUAUUAAAACCUCAGCAGGGUAAGCAAUAAAAAUGGGUAGAAAGCGUUUUCGGCAGUACUCAUUGAAGAGCAGUGUGAGGACUGGAAGCGGAAAAACUAAAGUUGAUGCAAUAGAUAGCUUCUUUAGUGUAAAGAUUCCAAUUGAAAUUGCAUGCAUGAGUACCAAAGAGAAUAUCAUUGAAUUGUGCACAAUAG
This 480-nucleotide unclassified non-coding RNA is filed under the name Hevea brasiliensis (rubber tree). The record is from RNAcentral. Lineage: Eukaryota; Viridiplantae; Streptophyta; Magnoliopsida; Malpighiales; Euphorbiaceae.